Long non-coding RNA from Triticum dicoccoides, 2212 nucleotides. RefSeq lists it as uncharacterized. The transcript has 8 exons. The record is from RefSeq and is a predicted model, not a curated record. NCBI's taxonomy places the organism in Eukaryota, Viridiplantae, Streptophyta, Magnoliopsida, Poales, Poaceae.
GAUUGGGUGAAACCCUAGCCACCACUCCCCGUUGGGCUUCUCUCCUCCAUUCCCCAUCGUGCCCCUCUCUUCCAAUCCCUGUAGCCGACGACGAGAUCUUUCCCUUCGCCGAGCUUGCCACCAUCGCUGCUCUCCCCUCGCCAUCGCCGGGAGGAGUGUGCAAGCCGCCGCUUGCGUCAUUUCUCCGCAGCCGCCACCGCCCCCUUCCCUUCCAAACCCGCGGAGAUGAUGGCGCUGGCGUCGGCGCCGACGCUCGCGGUGGUCGGGUACUGGGCUGCCCGGCAGCCGCGGGGCCCAGACGCGCUACAUCGUCAGGGACCUCAAGCUGUCGACGGCGGGGACUGAGUCACCGCCGCAUCAUCUUCUCCUUCUCCCCAACACCGCAUCUCCUCCUCCCCAACACCGAUGAGUGCGGGUCGCCGUCGCACCAGAUGAGAUGGGGCAGCAACCACGCCCCCUUCACCUCUUCUACCCAGCCGUGCCACUCGGGACGACAAGAUCCAGCCGCGGCGGCCGAGAUCCAGCUGGCUGCCAUUGAUAUGAGGAGCGCUCGCGCCGCUGCUCCGUUGUUCGUCGUCCACUUGGCCGCAACCAUCCACAAGAAGAGGUGAUGUCACGGCAGCAGGGUCCUCGCCUGUCUCCACUCUCUCGUCGCAACAACAUUUCCAUCUCCAUCCCCAACGCAUCCUUGACUCAUCUUGAUCUGGAAUGAACCAGAGCCCAGAGAAAGAGAUUUGAUGUGAUGAUUGAGGUAAAAGGCAUGGAUUGUUUGGGGCUCCUCUGAAAUAAGCUUCUUAAUUAAGAGAUGAAUACAGUCGGAGCCUGGGAUUUUUAUACACAUAGAUGGUGCAUAAAUAAGCAAAACAAAAAAUGCGCCAAUGCUUUGCCAGAAUUUCGUUUGUCCUCUCAAAAUUGUGGCGAAACCAAGAUUGAAUUUAGGGAUGUUUCAUAUGCUUGGCCGUUGACACACUUCUCUUCAAGGCAAGGUCAUUUCCAAGGUGAUUACAGCGGUAGGACCUGCCCCUGAUAAGAACCAGGGUACCCGUUUAAACAGAAUGAUGACUGCGUGAGGCUUAAAAUAUCGCCAUCAUAUCAGGGACAUGGAAAGAUGCAAGCGUUACUAUCUUGCAAGCUUGCUCUAAAAGACAAAUUUGAAUGGAUCUUUAAUUAGACAACGCAAAACCCUUUCCGUGUUUGUUGAACCCUGCGGGUGAUGCUGUCACUUCCAUGGUCCACCAGAAUGAAGAUCGCACUCAGUGCUGCAAGGGGGCUUGCCUUCCUGCACGAAGCUGAGAAGCCGCGAGUGCUUGAUGCGGCACUCCCACCGUAACUCAUCCUUUUGUGUCCGCUGCAGUAGGUUGCUGGCUUUGAGGCCGAUGACGGUGUGUUGUUUUCUCUGGUGGUCCGGCCAGCUACGCCCAUCCUGGAGGCCGACAUGCCCUCUCCGGCUGAAAUCCCCUCGCCCUGGCCCCACUCGCUACAUGGCGCUGAACAUUCAACCAAGGAGGGGUGGUGCCUCUUCUCCGGCCCGCACAUACCAUCCCCAACACCAACAUCGGAUGACUCGAAGGUUUGUGGAUAGAAUGUGAGAUAUUUCAAUUAAGGUUCCGAAGAAAGAUCCCAAAUAAUACAGUGUCCCCCCAUUUGAAAAAUGGCACGGUGGAUUUGAUACCUCAAUGGUCUUGCACUAGCCACAGACAGCUUUGCGUUUGUGCCUUGGUUUAGGAGGUGUCCAUAACGAAAUAGUACAAAACUUUUGCAAAUUCUCGCAUACAGCCAUGGGGUCGUUUGGCACCGGUAUAUGUGAUUAGUGGAUCUUCAGUCUGCGGGCACCGAGGAUACAUACAUAGUGGUAUGAUGUCUGAAAAUCAGUCAGAUAUCUUUGCUAAGAUUUUAACUUGCCUUGUGAAUUUCUUCUGCUGAGUGCUUAUUUCCUUUUUUAGGGGUGAGUGCUUAUUUGCUGACAGGCCAUGUUAAAUUGUCACUGUUUGGUAUGGGUCGCUUCAUGUGAGGAAAUCAGACCUCUCUUUGUAGCUUCAAAGAUGCAGUAAUUAUAGUACUCUUCAAAUUGCAUCUUUUAGGAUAGGUUUUCCAUUGCUUGUGCCCCGUUGAUAUGUAGUGUUUAUGUACGUUGUUUUUAUUAUUUACAUUGGAUCUGAAUUUAAAGCAAGAGAAGUAUGCAUAAAAAAAAGGAGAAACUGAAAAAAUGAUA